Molecule: transfer RNA, 61 nt
Filed under: Seriana bacilla
Lineage: Eukaryota; Metazoa; Arthropoda; Insecta; Hemiptera; Cicadellidae
Also listed under: 1 other name
Description: tRNA-Cys
Source: RNAcentral
AAUCUUAUAGUUUAACAAAAACAUUAAAUUGCAAAUUUAAAGAUAAUUAAAUUUAAGAUUU